RNAcentral lists this ribosomal RNA (430 nucleotides) under uncultured bacterium. Its description in RNAcentral is "partial 16S ribosomal RNA". It matches the Rfam family "Bacterial small subunit ribosomal RNA", at positions 29 to 504 of the family's 1533-position model. The record is from RNAcentral.
AACGAACGCUGGCGGCAUGCCUAACACAUGCAAGUCGAACGAGACCUUCGGGUCUAGUGGCGCACGGGUGCGUAACGCGUGGGAACCUGCCCUUAGGUUCGGAAUAACUCCCCGAAAGGGGUGCUAAUACCGGAUAAUGUCUUCGGACCAAAGAUUUAUCGCCUUUGGAUGGGCCCGCGUUGGAUUAGCUAGUUGGUAGGGUAAAAGCCUACCAAGGCGACGAUCCAUAGCUGGUCUGAGAGGAUGAUCAGCCACACUGGGACUGAGACACGGCCCAGACUCCUACGGGAGGCAGCAGUGGGGAAUAUGGGACAAUGGGCGAAAGCCUGAUCCAGCAAUGCCGCGUGAGUGAUGAGGGCCUUAGGGUUGUAAAGCUCUUUUACCCGGGAUGAUAAGGACAGUACCAGGAGAAUAAGCUCCGGCGAACUCC